This 2476-nucleotide long non-coding RNA is filed under the name Triticum aestivum (bread wheat). Its description in RNAcentral is "long non-coding RNA (TAES_LNC008913)". Lineage: Eukaryota; Viridiplantae; Streptophyta; Magnoliopsida; Poales; Poaceae. The record is from RNAcentral.
CGCGCCGGCGCCUCCCUGCCGCUCCCCUCUCCCUCUAAACUUGCUCCGCCACCCACCGCUCGGUGCCUUCCGCCCGUCGGCCUCCUCCUCCGUGGAUCUCGGCUGGGUGAUCCUGCCCGUGGGCGCGUGGCUGGACCGCCCGACACCUCAACUCCGGCGCCAAUGGAACUGCCAUCCUGCUCACCUGCCCGGGACUCCCGUGCGCUUCAGUGCAACGCCCUGCAGCAGCUAUCCCCUGGUCAGGCCCUCAUGUUUCCCUCUGUAUUUUUCAUUGCAAGUGCAGCAAAUUUAAAUUCAAAAUACUACAUCACAUGGGCAUUAGUACUGUGCUAUACAUACAACAUAAGGAUGCUGAUUUUAGUUUGAAAGUAGCAGACUAAUUUUCCCUUGCUUGCUGUUUUAUUGGUAUGUAGAACCACACAUUCGUGGAGCUCAGUAGCAUAAAGGUAUGCUAUGUUCUUGAGCAUAAGUUAAACAAUCCGGUUGUUAGUUUUCAGCCGUGAAUAUUCGUACUGAAGCUCAUGGUUACUUGUGCCAAUAUUUUGCCAGGAGAUUAUCAUAUUAUCCAUGAAUAUUUGUAUUGAAGAUCAUGUGUUGGAUGUAUUUUGGAUGGCCUGGUAUCUUUGAUUAUUCGUACUGAAGCUCAUUGGUACCUAUGCCGACAUUUUUCUAGGAGAUUAUCAUUUUAUCCCUGAAUAUUUGUACUGAAGAUCACUUGUUGGAUGCAUUUUUAGAUGGUCUUAUAUCUCUAAAUAGCUAUGCAAGAAUAUUGUUUCUCAUGGAAAACUAUUCCUUUUUACUAGCUAGAAUUAGACAGGGUAGUAAGGCAUAAGAGGUUAGUUGGUUGGUUUAGUCAACUUUGAAUUUAUCAAGAGUGAAGAUGUUAACCACCAGUAUAUGCACAACAUGUCACUGAAUUCUAGCUGUCUGAAUGUAAUCUCAUGAAUUUCAGUUAUCUCUGAAUAUCACCAGUACAUACUUGGCAUCAGUGGGUGUACAAGUAUACAGAAAUAACAUCAGCACAUGAAUUUCACUAUACCAAUACUCUGAAUCAGUGAAGAAUGAAUGUGGAUGUACAAGAAGCAAAAUCCCUGUGUUAUCCAUGUCACUGAAAUGACAGAAAAGACUUCCUGUACAUCCAUGUUCAUUCAAGUAUUUUCUGUAGAUCCACACUGAUUCACGUGCAGCAAAAGAACUAGUAUUUGUCUGUACGUCCACAUUCAUUCUGUUACAGCAAAACAUCAGCAAUUUCUCUGUCAAACAUCAGCAAAACAUUCACGUGGAGUAGUUUUGACGGCAAGCAAGCCACCGCGCAUGGAUGCAGCACCGCGGCCGCUUGGUUUCCCUUGUGAGUGGGCAACGUCGUGUCGCUGUCGCAUGGAUGCAGCGCCGCAGCCGCUUUGUCUCACUCGCGUAUGGGUGUAGCGCCGGGUCGCGGAGGACGCCACCGCCCGGAGGCAUCACCAUGGCCGUCGGGUCGUAGCUGCAUGGGGCAAGCACUGUGCUACCAUCGCGUGUGGUCAGUACCAGACCGCUGUCGCGUCGGGGCGCUGCCAUGGCCUGCGGGUCGCCGUAGCUAGGGGAGCGGCGCUGAAGUCAGUCAUUGUUGAAUCGCCGCGGCGUCCAGGUCGCACUCGUGGCUGGAGAAAAAGUAGGAAGGGGAUAAUUUCAUGUCACAUGUACUACCAUGUGACAGUAAUACUAUUUCUUGUUCCAUCAACCAAAUUUUGCUUUACAAUGUAUAGAUAAAAUUUGCUUUACCAUGUGACACUAAUACUGGUAUGUAUGUAUCCCUGUUGUCUUGUCUUGUGAUGCAGCUAGUGACGCUAUUGACUGUAAUGCAACUGUUAUGUUUUUUUAACAGGACUAGCUUUACGGACAUAAGGCAAAAAUGACACGAGAUAAGAGCUGGAUGGACAGGGAAAGAGAUUCUGUUGAGUGGCAAACUGGCAUGAAGGAUUUCUUGAAUUUUGCCUUCGAUGGUGCUCACCCAGACUCAGCAGGCCCAUGCCCAUGUAGGAGAUGUCUCUAUAUUGUUCAGACAAAGAAAAGGGAUGGUCCUGAACUUUUUUUAUGGUUACCUACAAGUAGUAUCUCUCUUGAAGUUUAAUCUGAUGUUAAAUAGGUUCAAACAAGGCACCCCUGCAUAGUGUCAUCUGUUGUGGCAAAUGGGAACAGAAGCUAGUGCCCAGCACUAACAGUUUGGUGAUGAAGAGAAGAGAAGAGUAGUUGCUGUUCUUUUAGUGAUGUUGCUAUUUUGACAGUGAUGCUAUGUACAAACUAUUGCUAUGAACUUGUGGUCUUUUAGUGUGGUCGCUAUUUUCAUUACUUUGCCAUCAACUUAUGGUCUUUUGUGUGAACAAUCUUUACAAGUAUGGCUGCUGAAACUUGUGUGUUGUCAUAUUGAAACAUGUGUUAUAUAUCUCGCUGAGAUGAUUUAUUAUAUCCUACUAAAAUCUUGUGUCAUAUGUCCUUA